GGAUGUGAGGGCAACCUGGCUGUGACAUCUCUCACCCCGUUGAUCACCAGGGUUGAUCCGGCUGAUCUGGGUGGCUAGGCUGGUGUCUCCUUCCUCCCUCACUGCUUCAUGUAUGUCCCUCCCAAAGCUGCACACUCAAGUCGAAGAGAACGACCAUCCCCAAUAGAGGAGGACUAAUCUUCGGUCAAGGGUAUAUAAGUAGCUGCGUUCCCCUGCUAGAACCUCCAAACAAGCUCUCAAGGUCCCAGGUAGCUAGGAUUACAGGCACACGCCAUCAUGCUUCACUAUCAUUCUCUUCUCAAUUAAAGGUAAUACUGUU
Gorilla gorilla gorilla (western lowland gorilla) is the source of this 319-nucleotide unclassified non-coding RNA. Its record names the gene 7SK. It matches the Rfam family "7SK RNA". From Rfam's summary of the family: 7SK was discovered as an abundant small nuclear RNA in the mid-70s but a possible function has only recently been suggested. NCBI's taxonomy places the organism in Eukaryota, Metazoa, Chordata, Mammalia, Primates, Hominidae. The record is from Ensembl.